Molecule: microRNA, 22 nt
Filed under: Ananas comosus (pineapple)
Lineage: Eukaryota; Viridiplantae; Streptophyta; Magnoliopsida; Poales; Bromeliaceae
Description: microRNA s0612_c83a
Source: RNAcentral
CCGGUGUUCUUCUUUCUUCUAC